Long non-coding RNA from Chionomys nivalis (European snow vole), 2473 nucleotides. RefSeq lists it as uncharacterized. The transcript has 5 exons. The record is from RefSeq and is a predicted model, not a curated record. Lineage: Eukaryota; Metazoa; Chordata; Mammalia; Rodentia; Cricetidae.
AUGGUGAGAUUUAUUUCUUUUUGCCCCACCCACUUCUUAUUUGAUGAAUUCAAUAACCUCUGGUUGUUUCACAUAUAUCAUAAAUCCCCAAAGAAGAAUGAAAUCAAGUUUUGUAAAGUAACAACACUAGGCAGGGAAUUAUAUAUCCAGAUAUUUUUGUUAUUUUCUUUCCUUACAAAGAAAAAAGUCAUCUGUUCUUCCAGAUUUUCUUUCUCCCUUGUAUUUUUUUUUAACCCAGAGUUGAUAGGAGCCUAAACACUGAUGCUAAAGUCCUCUGUGGGCUCUGGUGGUGCAUCUGUAAUAACAAGCCUCAGGAGGUAGAAGGACCCCAAGUUGAAAACCAGUUUAGAUAUGUUGAGAUCCUGUCUCUAUAUUUUUAAAAAAAAGGCUAAUGAAAGAAUAUCCUUUUUGGGUUUUUGCCCACUUCAUUUUCAAAUACUGACUGUUCCUCCCAGUGGUAAUUGCAGACGACUAUAGUCAGUCUGUAAAGAUAACCCGGAGGUAAAGUCAGACCUCCGUAUUGAAAAUUAUUGUCCUUUCCUCUUGAAAUUUUUAGCAGAUACGCGUGUUUGCUCCCUAAUUUAAUGCGAUGUUUCCGUGUUGCUGACAAUAAGGUAGGUAUGCUUAGUCGGCUUAAGAAAGUUCUAUUUUCUUAUGCAGAGGGCCAUCACACAAAGUUCACACUCUUAAGUUCCUAAUUAUAGUCUUAAGCCUUUCUCCCCAAGGUUGCUCACCUGUGCGGUGUAUCUUCGAAGAUCAGGUCCAGUCUCUAACAGAAGUCUCUGAUUAGAGGGACAGGAUCCCGGGAAGACGCUCCAGCCGAAGGCUAGAUCAAGGUGCCGUCUCCAGGUGCACAGAGGAAGAACAGUGCUCGUGGUCUCUUUUUAUAGACUGCUCAGAGGGCGUCAGAGGAUUCUAGUCCUGUGUCUGGUUAUCUUGAAAGUGAUGUCACUGGGUUCUGGUUAUCAGGUAUAGCCUUGGGUGUAGUGGACUUCCUGACGAAGCUCUUUUUGUGUGCCUAAAAGGUGGUUUUUUUUCUAUGCUCAUUGCAUUUUGCAUAACUUGAUAGUGUCUUUAAAAAUCAGAUAGUAGAUAGUGAAGCAUAUUUCACACUUAAUUGCGCUAUGUUUCAGGGCAACUGAUGAGGUAGCCCUGUGGGGUUUUUUUUUUUGUUCUUUUGCUUUCUGUGCGUAUGCACAUGUGUGUAGGAGUGUUUGUGCAUAUGCAUGUUGGGGCUAAAGGUAAUCUUCAUUUUAGGUCUCGUCCACCUUAUAUUUUGAGAGGCAGGGUCUCAGUGAACUUAGGCUGUUCUACAUGGGCUAUACUGGCUUGUCGGUGAACUCCCGGGAUAUGCCUGUCUCCACCAUGUAGUCCCCUUAAAACACUGGGCUUCCAGAUAUGUGCCCCAUGUUAGCUUUUAUGUAGGUGCUAGGGAAUUGAACUGAGGUCCUCUUGCUUGAGCAGCAGACACACUUUACCCCCUGAGACAUCUCCCCAGCCAGACCCUCAAUUUUUAAAUAUUUUCUAUAUUUUAGAUGUUGAAGUAAAUGCUUUUUUCUUAACAAAAUUGUACACCAUUUUCAACCAGCAAAUAUCUGCUUCAGUUAUCAAUGAUAUGUACUUGUGCACAUGUCAGUGAAGGGUUUUUUUUAGGAUUUUAAUUUCAUUGUUUUUAAUUAUGUGUAGGUGUAUAUAUCUACAUAUGGGUAUGUGACAUGAGUUCAGAGGUCAGAGGCUUUGGAUCCCCUGGAGCUGGAAUUGCAGACUGUUCUGAGACACCUGGCAUGCAUGAUGGGAACCUAACUCGGGUCUUCCGGAAGAGCAACCAGUGGACCUCCUUGCUGAGCCCUCUCUCCAGCCACAAUGGUGAAAGGUUUUUACAGCAGCCUGCAGCUAUAUUUCCCAGGCCGACUGGAAGCAUCAGUAUCACCUGGCACUAAGAGCUAUGCAGGCUACCAAGUUAUAUAAAAUGCAUCUCUUGCCCUCAACCACUGAACUGAUGAGUGGAACCUUGCUUUCUAAUCCCUGGGGGGCUCCUGAACUAGAUUGAUCACUUCAGUGAACACAUUUUACUAGACCAGUGCAUCCCUAUGACACAGAGCGACACACCAACCCACUCUAUCCUGACCUUUCUUGUAGCCUUAUCUGAAUCCUAUGAAGAAGAAAGGGAAGCACAAAAAGGGUAAAGAAACAACCCAAACUAUGGCUCUCUAAGUUGUACAACUACAACCCGAGGAGAGGUUUGCUGGGUCCAUUAUACAGAUAGAGAACCAGAGGCAAACAGUAUCUCAGAAGGAAUUGAAAAGUGAGAGCGAACCUUCGUCCAGCAACUGAUGGAAACAGAGGCAGAGACCCGCAGUGGAGCACUGGACUGAGCUCCCAAGGUUCAGUUGAAGAGUGGGAGGAGUGAGAAUAUGAGCAAAGAGAUCAAGACCAUGAUGGGGACAUCCACUGAAGCAGUCUACCUGAGUUA